UACAGAGGGUGCGAGCGGUAAUCGGAAUUACUGGGCGUAAAGCGCACGUAGGUGGCGACGUAAGUCGGGUGUGAAAGCCCCGGGCUCAACCUGGGAAUUGCAUUCGAGACUGCAUUGCUGGAGUACGGAAGAGGAGGGCGGAAUUCCCGGUGUAGCGGUGAAAUGCGUAGAUAUCGGGAGGAACAUCAGUGGCGAAGGCGGCCCUCUGGCAGUACUGACACUCAAGUGCGAAAGCGUGGGGAGCAAACAGG
This 251-nucleotide ribosomal RNA is filed under the name uncultured bacterium. Its description in RNAcentral is "partial 16S ribosomal RNA". It matches the Rfam family "Bacterial small subunit ribosomal RNA", at positions 524 to 776 of the family's 1533-position model. The record is from RNAcentral.